This 494-nucleotide ribosomal RNA is filed under the name uncultured bacterium. Its description in RNAcentral is "partial 16S ribosomal RNA". It matches the Rfam family "Bacterial small subunit ribosomal RNA", at positions 28 to 507 of the family's 1533-position model. The record is from RNAcentral.
GACGAACGCUGGCGGCGUGCUUAACACAUGCAAGUCGAACGGUGAAGCGCCUUCCUUUUUGGUGGGUGUGGAUGAGUGGCGAACGGGUGAGUAACACGUGAGUAACCUGCCCCCUUCUUCUGGAUAACCGCAUGAAAGUGUGGCUAAUACGGGAUAUUCUGGGUCUGUGGCAUGAUGGGUCUGGGAAAGAUAUUGUUUCGGUGGGGGAUGGGCUCGCGGCCUAUCAGCUUGUUGGUGGGGUGAUGGCCUACCAAGGCGGUGACGGGUAGCCGGCCUGAGAGGGUGGACGGUCACACUGGGACUGAGACACGGCCCAGACUCCUACGGGAGGCAGCAGUGGGGAAUAUUGCACAAUGGGCGCAAGCCUGAUGCAGCGACGCCGCGUGAGGGAUGGAGGCCUUCGGGUUGUGAACCUCUUUCGCCAGUGAAGCAGGCCUGCCUCGUUUGUGGGUGGGUUGACGGUAGCUGGAUAAGAAGCGCCGGCUAACUACGUG